UGAAUAUCUCUGUUCUGUACACACCCUAUGUUUUUACCAAACAGAAGGCAGCAACGCCUUGUAAGCAACAGAUCAUUCUGGCCCUCUGUGCCCUUUCAUGUGCAGGUGCUCUGGCUUGCCUGUGCCUCCCCUUACUCUGGGUGUUCUCAGUGAACUCUUAUGUAGUCAUUAAGACCCACCUGAGCAAGCUCUCCUGAUCUGAGUACUUGCCCUUCAUGCCACUCCUCUAUCCUCAUCUGAGUGGACACUGCCAUUCCAGUCUUGAUGCAAGGAUCCAUUCUGUGUCUUCUGAUAAAUUUAGAGAAAGAUGAAGAAACAGACCUACAAACUGGACAGCAUCACACCUUGGCCUUCCUAAACCUGCUAAUUAGCAGCCUGACCUGCCAAUUGAUUCUGCAUCUGUGGAUACAGAGGCACUUACCAGAGAGACACGCUGUGGGAGGCCUCACUAUGACUGAGUAGAACCUGCACAGUUUUAAGGAGAGGAUGCCUUAAAUCCCCUCUGCAGGCCUGUGUUUCUCGUGUCUGUAAAACGGUGACGAGCUCUUCCUGGAAGGCCAAAACAUGAAGUCCCCAGUGGAAUAUUUUCUGGGUCUUAAUUGUACUUUACUCUCUGUGGGAUAACAGCAAACUGGAAAAGCUGUGCUCACAACAUUUCUCUUAACUUUCUUGACAUAUCUGAUGGAAGAAUCCCAAGUUCCAUAUGUAGAUAAUUCCAAGUGCCCUCAUAUUUUGAUCCUAAUAUCAAACUAAUCAAAAAAUACUUGCGCAUGGUGUAAUGGCUCUUCUC
Molecule: long non-coding RNA, 790 nt
Filed under: Chinchilla lanigera (long-tailed chinchilla)
Lineage: Eukaryota; Metazoa; Chordata; Mammalia; Rodentia; Chinchillidae
Description: lncRNA (ENSCLAG00000028732.1)
Source: RNAcentral